GGGUGCUUGCACCUGGUGGCGAGUGGCGAACGGGUGAGUAAUACAUCGGAACAUGUCCUGUAGUGGGGGAUAGCCCGGCGAAAGCCGGAUUAAUACCGCAUACGAUCUAUGGAUGAAAGCGGGGGACCUUCGGGCCUCGCGCUAUAGGGUUGGCCGAUGGCUGAUUAGCUAGUUGGUGGGGUAAAGGCCUACCAAGGCGACGAUCAGUAGCUGGUCUGAGAGGACGACCAGCCACACUGGGACUGAGACACGGCCCAGACUCCUACGGGAGGCAGCAGUGGGGAAUUUUGGACAAUGGGCGAAAGCCUGAUCCAGCAAUGCCGCGUGUGUGAAGAAGGCCUUCGGGUUGUAAAGCACUUUUGUCCGGAAAGAAAUCCUUGGUUCUAAUAUAGCCGGGGGAUGACGGUACCGGAAGAAUAAGCACCGGCUAACUACGUGCCAGCAGCCGCGGUAAUACGUAGGGUGCGAGCGUUAAUCGGAAUUACUGGGCGUAAAGCGUGCGCAGGCGGUUUGCUAAGACCGAUGUGAAAUCCCCGGGCUCAACCUGGGAACUGCAUUGGUGACUGGCAGGCUAGAGUAUGGCAGAGGGGGGUAGAAUUCCACGUGUAGCAGUGAAAUGCGUAGAGAUGUGGAGGAAUACCGAUGGCGAAGGCAGCCCCCUGGGCCAAUACUGACGCUCAUGCACG
This 686-nucleotide ribosomal RNA is filed under the name uncultured beta proteobacterium. Its description in RNAcentral is "bacterial SSU rRNA". It matches the Rfam family "Bacterial small subunit ribosomal RNA", at positions 74 to 755 of the family's 1533-position model. Lineage: Bacteria; Pseudomonadati; Pseudomonadota; Betaproteobacteria. The record is from RNAcentral.